UCUGGGAUGUUAUAAACUACUUUAUUUGUAGUUUCUUCUUUCUUUUGUAGAAUGAUUAUUUCUAUUCCUUCUAUUUGUUUUUCAAUUGGUCUGAGAGUAAUAUUUGUAAACUUCUAUUAUUCUACAAUUUGCUCUAGAUGUUCUACUUUUGCAUUUUCAUUGUGUCCUUUAUUGGAUACUUUUAGAGGACUAGCUCAUACUCCUCCCUCGACCUAUUCUAUUUCAAAGGAUGGAUACAUCGAUUCAUCCCCUUAGCACUCUUCCAUAUUUUAGAAAGAUGAUUAUUGCCACUUG
Molecule: long non-coding RNA, 294 nt
Filed under: Elaeis guineensis (African oil palm)
Lineage: Eukaryota; Viridiplantae; Streptophyta; Magnoliopsida; Arecales; Arecaceae
Description: long non-coding RNA (EGUI_LNC032268)
Source: RNAcentral